GAUGAACGCUGGCGGCGUGCCUAAUACAUGCAAGUCGAGCGGCAGCACGGUCUUCGGACUGGUGGCGAGCGGCGGACGGCUGAGUAACGCGUAGGAAUAUACCCCAAAGUGAGGGAUAACUGCCCGAAAGGGUGGCUAAUACCGCAUGUGGUCUUCGGACUAAAGCCUUCGGGCGCUUUGGGAAUAGCCUGCGUAAGAUUAGCUAGUUGGUGAGGUAAUGGCUCACCAAGGCGACGAUCUUUAGCUGGUCUGAGAGGAUGACCAGCCAGACUGGAACUGAGACACGGUCCAGACUCCUACGGGAGGCAGCAGUAGGGAAUUUUCCACAAUGGGCGAAAGCCUGAUGGAGCAACGCCGCGUGCAGGAUGAAGGCCCUCGGGUCGUAAACUGCUUUUAUGUGCGAAGAAUAUGACGGUAACACAUGAAUAAGGGUCGGCUAACUACGUGCCAGCAGCCGCGGUAAU
This 464-nucleotide ribosomal RNA is filed under the name uncultured bacterium. Its description in RNAcentral is "bacterial SSU rRNA". It matches the Rfam family "Bacterial small subunit ribosomal RNA", at positions 28 to 524 of the family's 1533-position model. The record is from RNAcentral.